Molecule: non-coding RNA, 148 nt
Organism: Nomascus leucogenys (northern white-cheeked gibbon)
Lineage: Eukaryota; Metazoa; Chordata; Mammalia; Primates; Hylobatidae
Rfam family: Metazoan signal recognition particle RNA
About the family: The signal recognition particle (SRP) is a universally conserved ribonucleoprotein.
Source: Rfam
GCUGGGUGUAGUGGUGGGUGCCUGUAAUCCCAGCUACUCAGGAGGCUGAGGCAGGAGAAUCGCUUGAACCCAGGAGGUGGAGGUUGCAGUGAGCCAAGAUCGUGCCACUGCACUCCAGCCUGGGUGACAGAGCGAGACUCUGUCUCAA